Molecule: unclassified non-coding RNA, 431 nt
Filed under: Hevea brasiliensis (rubber tree)
Lineage: Eukaryota; Viridiplantae; Streptophyta; Magnoliopsida; Malpighiales; Euphorbiaceae
Source: RNAcentral
UUUCCCUAUUACCGCAAAAAAGACAAUCAGGAGCAAUAUAUGGCAACCUCUUAUUGUCUAAAUCACUAGAUGGUAACCUUCCUUUGAGUAGACUCGUAGGAAUAUAAAGAUUUUGCUUGGUAAAGGAAUCUUCCAAAUCUUUUUCCAUAUCAUCUCAUUCCAUGCUGAUUAAGGACCGACCCUGCUCUAAAACCAACAAUCGCAACAUGAUGAAUCAUUCUAGCAAUGAUCGAAUAGACCCCCAUGCAACUUGCAACUACUUUUAAGCCAUUACCAACGUAAGAGACAUUUAAAUGGGUUAGGUUGAAAGAAUUUUUGCUUCUUGAAGUUAGAACCCUUCUUCCUUUUGUCUUUUGCGGAUAGAACUUAUUUUUUAUAAGAGAAAUUGGCAAUGUGUGUGUAGCUUUUUUUUUUUUUGGUUAAAUUUCAAC